RNA transcript from Sapajus apella (tufted capuchin), 1944 nucleotides. It is a transcript of the gene named UPF0428 protein CXorf56 pseudogene, with no coding region annotated. The record is from RefSeq and is a predicted model, not a curated record. Lineage: Eukaryota; Metazoa; Chordata; Mammalia; Primates; Cebidae. The transcript has 2 exons.
AGAAUCCUCUUCCUGCCUCUGCCCAUGAGAUCCUCGGUAAGAUCCUAGAGGAGCUUAGAGAAAAAGACUGAGUGAAACCAGACUGGGACUUGUACACUGCAUCUCUCCUUCACUGUCAGCUGCUGUCAGCUUUAAGUGGUCCUUUUGUGGUCACCUGUGCCCAAACAAGAGCCUCUGAGGAAGAGAAAGUCUCUGUCCUUUUACUGAUGCCAAAACGGAGGCCCGUGGAAACUGGCUAGUAGCCAAAAUAACAAGCUUGUUUAAUGGCUGGGCUUUGCUAGGAUUUUAAGACAGUACUAUCAGUAAACAAGGGAUGGUAACGUUUCUACAUAUAGGAUGUGCUCUCACAAGCCUCUGAGCACCAAAGUCGGCACCUCCCAUCUGCUAAGGGUCAACCAAUUUAACAACUAGAACUAAACAUUACAUUUCAUAUUUUAAAUAGAAUGUCAACCAAAGUGGCCUGUGUGCUCCAUAAGUUAAUAACACGUCAUUCAUCAGACCAAAUUAUAUCUCAGUCAAGGUGGAAAGCUGUGGCCCUGGGUUAGUAGCUUACCGAGAAAAUGUGGAAUACUUCGCAAGGUGUUUUAGUAAUACCGAUGUUUAUAUGUUACGGAAAUGUGGAUAAGGGCCAUUUAAGUCCCAUUACUAAGGUAGCCGCAGGGGAAAGGUGCGCGGCGCGCUCGUGACGUCAUUUCGGCGCGACCCUCUUGUAUGCGUAGAUUUUUCAGGCGGCUCCUGGGAACCAUGCCGAAAGUAGUGUCUCGGUCAGUAGUCUGCUCUGACACUCGGGACCGGGAGGAAUAUGAUGAUGGCGAGAAGCCCCUCCAUGUGUACUACUGUUUGUGCGGCCAGAUGGUCCUACUGCUGGACUGUCAGUUAGAGAAACUGCCCAUGAGGCCCCGGGACCGGUCCCGUGUGAUUGAUGCUGCCAAACAUGCCCGUAAGUUUUGUAACACAGAAGGCCAGGAGACUGUGUAUCUGCGGAGACCUGAAGGCACUGAACGACAGUACAGAAAGAAAUGUGCAAAGUGUGGACUGCUGCUCUUCUACCAAUCCCAGCCGAAUAACGCUCCCGUUACCUUCAUUGUGGAUGGAGCAUUAGUCAAGUUUGGCCAGGCCUUUGGGAAAACGAACGUAUAUACUCAGAAACAAGAGCCUCCUAAGAAGGUGAUGAUGACCAAAUGGACCAAAGACAUGGGCAAGUUCACUUCUGUCACUGUGUCUACCAUUGAUGAAGAGGAAGAAGAGAUUGAGGCUAGGGAAGUUGCUGACUCCUAUGCGCAGAAUGCCAAAGUGAUUGAAAAACAGCUGGAGCGCAAAGGCAUGAGCAAGAUGCGACUGCAAGAGCUGGCUGAACUGGAAGCCAAGAAAGCGAAAAUGAAGGGGACCUUGAUUGACAACCAGUUCAAAUAACCAGGCCUUUUUCUGAGCCCUAGACUGGAGGCAAGCAUUUACAUCAGGAGGCAAAAUAAUUUCUUGAUUACAUAGACUGGUUCCUAUUUAUGUUCUAGCAGAAGGCUUUACGUUGUUUCCCAUUGGUUCUCCUACAUUCAGUGAGGUCUUUAACUGAGUCCAUUUGACCUGCUUUCUAAAAGAUGGCUUUUUCUCUGAAUUUUUCUGUAUUGAGGUUUUCUGUACUAUUUUUUGUCUAUUUGUGCAAACUUCUUCAGCUGUGUAGAAACUUUAUGAAUAGAUCAGUGCUUGAGUGUCUCUAGUCUCUAAAGUGGCUGGUUUUAGUCUUUCUUCAAAGUUAAUGUUUCAAGAUUUUUGGACAAAAUAUUAUGGUGUAUCAUAGAGAAAAGCAGCAUGAAUUAUAUUUAAGUAUAGCAAAUCAGAUCCUUUGAGUGACUCUGUCUCUGUUCUUAGAAGGGUUCUUGGAAUUGACUGUGGUUUGAAUCUUUCAACUGUCAGAGGAGACUCAAUAAAAGCCAGAAUCUGCAUAAA